GCGCUCUUGGGGCCCAUGAAAUCAAGCGUGGGUGAGACCUGGUAAGAAGAGGAAGGCGACCCAUACUUGGUUUCAGAGGCCGCAAGAA
RNAcentral lists this microRNA precursor (88 nucleotides) under Octodon degus (degu). Its description in RNAcentral is "miRNA (ENSODEG00000022029.1)". The stretch from base 10 to 82 matches the Rfam family "mir-551 microRNA precursor family". The record is from RNAcentral. Lineage: Eukaryota; Metazoa; Chordata; Mammalia; Rodentia; Octodontidae.